Molecule: ribosomal RNA, 922 nt
Filed under: uncultured archaeon
Lineage: Archaea
Description: bacterial SSU rRNA
Rfam family: Archaeal small subunit ribosomal RNA
Source: RNAcentral
UUCCGGUUGAUCCUGCCAGAGGUUACUGCUAUCGGAGUUCGAUUAAGCCAUGCGAGUCUAAAGGUUUCUUCGGAAACCUUGGCGGACUGCUCAGUAACACGUGGAUAACCUACCCUUGGGACUGGAAUAACCCCGGGAAACUGGGGAUAAUACCGGAUAGAUCAGGGAUGCUGGAAUGCACCUUGAUCCAAAGCUCCGGCGCCCAAGGAUGGGUCUGCGGCCUAUCAGGUAGUAGUGGGUGUAACGUACCUACUAGCCAACGACGGGUACGGGUUGUGAGAGCAAGAGCCCGGAGAUGGAUUCUGAGACACGAAUCCAGGCCCUACGGGGUGCAGCAGGCGCGAAACCUUUACAAUGUGCGAAAGCAUGAUAAGGGAACUCCGAGUGCCAGUAUCUAAUACUGGCUGUCCUUGUGCCUAAAACGCACAAGAUAGCAAGGGCCGGGUAAGACCGGUGCCAGCCGCCGCGGUAACACCGGCGGCCCGAGUGGUAGCCGCUAUUAUUGGGUCUAAAGGGUCCGUAGCCCGGUUCGAUAAGUCCUCUGGGAAAUCUGGUUGCUUAACAAUCAGACUGCCAAGGGAUACUGUCGAACUUGAGACCGGGAGAGGUAAGAGGUACUUCAGGGGUAGGAGUGAAAUCUUGUAAUCCCUGGGGGACCAUCUGUGGCGAAGGCGUCUUACCAGAACGGGUCUGACGGUGAGGGACGAAAGCUGGGGGCGCAAACCGGAUUAGAUACCCGGGUAGUCCCAGCCGUAAACGAUGCUCGCUAUGUGUCAGGUACGGUGUGACCGUAUCUGGUGCCGUAGGGAAGCCGUGAAGCGAGCCACCUGGGAAGUACGGUCGCAAGACUGAAACUUAAAGGAAUUGGCGGGGGAGCACUACAACGGGUGGAGCCUGCGGUUUAAUUGGAUUCAACGCCGGG